GAUGAACGCUAGCUAUAGGCUUAACACAUGCAAGUCGUGGGGCAGCGGAUGCUUAGCUUGCUAAGUAUGCCGGCGACCGGCGCACGGGUGAGUAACGCGUACCGAACCUGCCCAUCACACAGGGAUAGGCUUGCGAAAGCAAGAUUAAUACCUGAUGGUCUCAGUUGUAUGCAUGUAUGAUUGAGUAAAGCCUUCGGGCGGUGAUGGAUGGCGGUGCGUCCCAUUAGGAAGUUGGCGGGGUAACGGCCCACCAAUCCUUCGAUGGGUAGGGGUUCUGAGAGGAAGGUCCCCCACAUUGGAACUGAGAUACGGUCCAAACUCCUACGGGAGGCAGCAGUGAGGAAUAUUGGUCAAUGGGCGAGAGCCUGAACCAGCCAAGUAGCGUGCGGGAUGAAGGCCCUUGUGGUCGUAAACCGCUUUUAUCAGUGAAUAAAGUGCACCACGUGUGGUGUCAUUGCAGGUAGCUGAAGAAAAAGGACCGGCUAAUUCCGUGCCAGCAGCCGCGGUAAUACGGAAGGUCCGGGCGUUAUCCGGAAUUAUUGGGUUUAAAGGGAGCGCAGGCGGGAGUGUAAGUCAGCUGUUAAAUAUCAGGGCCCAACUCUGUUAUGCAGUUGAAACUAUAUUUCUUGAGUACGCACAGGGAUGGCGGAAUUCAGGGUGUAGCGGUGAAAUGCUUAGAUAUCCUGAAGAACUCCGAUCGCGAAGGCAGCCAUCCGGAGCGUAACUGACGCUGAGGCUCGAAGGUGCGGGUAUCGAACAGG
Molecule: ribosomal RNA, 761 nt
Filed under: Alloprevotella tannerae
Lineage: Bacteria; Pseudomonadati; Bacteroidota; Bacteroidia; Bacteroidales; Prevotellaceae
Description: bacterial SSU rRNA
Rfam family: Bacterial small subunit ribosomal RNA
Source: RNAcentral